CACAACUCCAUUAUCAUGCUUCCCCUGUGAUGGUUUACAGGUAUUCCACGCUCCUCUUUCGGGGUAAGCAACUCAUUUCUCCGGCGAUUUGUUUACUCUCAACAGUUUGCUCGUUUUUGAUAGGUCUUCGGAGGAGUUUUUUAUUUUUAUUUUUUUCGGUGUUUGCAGACCUGAUCGCGUCAGUGAGACAGGCAUUUCUUGUGAUGAGUGGUGGAGUACAAGUGAUGUGAUCGAGAGGGAUAAUAGCAUUAUUCUACCUGUCUUCGAGGAGACAACCCAAAGCUAAGUUGCACUAUAUCUUACUAGAAUGUGGUUUCCCAAUUUCAGAAAUAGGAGAGCUUUGCAUUUCUCACUUGUAAUCCAGCUACAAAUUAAUCUAGAGCUAUCGCAAGGUCGACACUGCACUGACCCGUGAAUGACAUUCAACGUUUACAGGCUUCAUUGUGUGGCUUUCAAUGAAAAGAGAGGAAGGCAGAUAUGAAUGUAAUCUCUCAUUGACCUAUUUAAACGUUUCACGUUAUGAGACUGCAUGAUAUUCACGUCUAUAAUCGUUUCUCAAGUCCGUGAUUGCCUUCAAUGCAUCGCCAAAUGAACUACGUGAAGGUUGCUUUACAGAAACGGAAUCCAAUGUAGCUUCUUUCUUGGUAGAAUUGUUUGAGAGAGAGAGAGAGAGAGAGAGAGAGAGAGAGAGAGAGAGAGAGAGAGAGAGAGAGAGAG
Molecule: long non-coding RNA, 717 nt
Filed under: Musa acuminata (dwarf banana)
Lineage: Eukaryota; Viridiplantae; Streptophyta; Magnoliopsida; Zingiberales; Musaceae
Description: long non-coding RNA (MACU_LNC002828)
Source: RNAcentral